RNAcentral lists this ribosomal RNA (279 nucleotides) under uncultured bacterium. RNAcentral describes it as "partial 16S ribosomal RNA". It matches the Rfam family "Bacterial small subunit ribosomal RNA", at positions 506 to 784 of the family's 1533-position model. The record is from RNAcentral.
UGCCAGCAGCCGCGGUAAUACGGAGGGAGCGAGCGUUAAUCGGAAUUACUGGGCGUAAAGCGCGCGUAGGCGGCUUUGUAAGUCGGAUGUGAAAGCCCAGGGCUCAACCCUGGAAUUGCAUUCGAUACUGCAUGGCUAGAGUAUGGUAGAGGGAAGUGGAAUUUCCGGUGUAGCGGUGAAAUGCGUAGAUAUCGGAAGGAACACCAGUGGCGAAGGCGACUUUCUGGCUUCAGACUGACGCUCAGGCGCGAAAGCGUGGGUAGCGAACAGGAUUAGAUA